UAUUGGAAGAGACGGGCUGGCACCUCCCGGGGUGGCCAGCCUUGCUGAAUUAUUCCACCCGUGUCUUUUGCGUACUUCUUGUUUCCUUGGUGGGCUCGCCCACCACAAGGACCAACCCAUAAACCUUUUUGCAAUGGCAAUCAGCGUCAGUAACAAUGUAAUAAUUUACAACUUUCAACAACGGAUCUCUUGGUUCUGGCAUCGAUGAAGAACGCAGCGAAAUGCGAUAAGUAGUGUGAAUUGCAGAAUUCAGUGAAUCAUCGAAUCUUUGAACGCACAUUGCGCCCUUUGGUAUUCCAAAGGGCAUGCCUGUUCGAGCGUCAUUUGUACCCUCAAGCUUUGCUUGGUGUUGGGCGUCUUUUUGUCUCCCCUUGCGGGAGACUCGCCUUAAAGUCAUUGGCAGCCGGCCUACUGGUUUCGGAGCGCAGCACAAGUCGCGCUCUCUUCCAGCCCCAAGGUCUAGCAUCCACCAAGCCUUUUUUUUCAACUUUUGACCUCGGAUCAGGUAGGGAUACCCGCUGAACUUAAGCAUAUCAUAAGCCGGAGGAAUAAACCCUCAGUGCGUCUCAAGGCGCUCUCAGACCGACACCACAUGUCGCGCGAUAUUACCGCGCAGAGUUUUCACAUCUCUAUGCGCAGGAAGAAGAGA
RNAcentral lists this ribosomal RNA (649 nucleotides) under Alternaria solani. Its description in RNAcentral is "eukaryotic LSU rRNA". The stretch from base 170 to 323 matches the Rfam family "5.8S ribosomal RNA". The record is from RNAcentral. Lineage: Eukaryota; Fungi; Ascomycota; Dothideomycetes; Pleosporales; Pleosporaceae.